CAGCAGCCGCGGUAAUACCGAGGGUGCGAGCGUUAAUCGGAUUUACUGGGCGUAAAGCGCACGCAGGCGGUCUGUCAAGUCAGAUGUGAAAUCCCCGGGCUUAACCUGGGAACUGCAUUUGAAACUGGCAGGCUAGAGUCUUGUAGAGGGGGGUAGAAUUCCAGGUGUAGCGGUGAAAUGCGUAGAGAUCUGGAGGAAUACCGGUGGCGAAGGCGGCCCCCUGGACAAAGACUGACGCUCAGGUGCGAAAGCGUGGGGAGCAAACAGGAUUAGAUACCCCAGUAGUCCCUGUCUCUUAUAC
RNAcentral lists this ribosomal RNA (301 nucleotides) under uncultured bacterium. Its description in RNAcentral is "partial 16S ribosomal RNA". It matches the Rfam family "Bacterial small subunit ribosomal RNA", at positions 509 to 807 of the family's 1533-position model. The record is from RNAcentral.